AUACGUAGGUGGCAAGCGUUGUCCGGAAUUAUUGGGCGUAAAGCGCGCGCAGGCGGCUAUGUAAGUCCGGUGUCAAAGCCCGGGGCUCAACCCCGGUACGCAUCGGAAACUGUGUAGCUUGAGUGCAGAAGAGGAAAGCGGUAUUCCACGUGUAGCGGUGAAAUGCGUAGAGAUGUGGAGGAACACCAGUGGCGAAGGCGGCUUUCUGGUCUGUAACUGACGCUGAGGCGCGAAAGCGUGGGGAGCAAACAGGAUUAGAUACCCUGGUAGUCCACGCCGUAAACGAUGAGUGCUAGGUGUUGGGGGUUUCAACACCCUCAGUGCCGCAGCUAACGCAAUAAGCACUCCGCCUGGGGAGUACGCUCGCAAGAGUGAA
This 376-nucleotide ribosomal RNA is filed under the name uncultured bacterium. RNAcentral's name for it is "bacterial SSU rRNA". It matches the Rfam family "Bacterial small subunit ribosomal RNA", at positions 523 to 898 of the family's 1533-position model. The record is from RNAcentral.